AGAGUUUGAUCCUGGCUCAGGACGAACGCUGGCGGCGUGCCUAAUACAUGCAAGUCGAGCGAAUCUUUGGGAGCUUGCUCCUAAAGAUUAGCGGCGGACGGGUGAGUAACACGUGGGCAACCUGCCUAUAAGACUGGGAUAACUUCGGGAAACCGGAGCUAAUACCGGAUAAUUCUUUCCCUCUCAUGAGGGAAAGCUGAAAGACGGUUUACGCUGUCACUUAUAGAUGGGCCCGCGGCGCAUUAGCUAGUUGGUGAGGUAACGGCUCACCAAGGCAACGAUGCGUAGCCGACCUGAGAGGGUGAUCGGCCACACUGGGACUGAGACACGGCCCAGACUCCUACGGGAGGCAGCAGUAGGGAAUCUUCCGCAAUGGACGAAAGUCUGACGGAGCAACGCCGCGUGAGUGAUGAAGGUUUUCGGAUCGUAAAACUCUGUUGUUAGGGAAGAACAAGUACCAGUUAACUGCUGGUACCUUGACGGUACCUAACCAGAAAGCCACGGCUAACUACGUGCCAGCAGCCGCGGUA
Molecule: ribosomal RNA, 530 nt
Filed under: uncultured Bacillota bacterium
Lineage: Bacteria; Bacillati; Bacillota
Description: bacterial SSU rRNA
Rfam family: Bacterial small subunit ribosomal RNA
Source: RNAcentral